This is a non-coding RNA of Pelobates cultripes (western spadefoot toad), 82 nucleotides long. The record is from the annotation of a GenBank genome assembly. Lineage: Eukaryota; Metazoa; Chordata; Amphibia; Anura; Pelobatidae.
UCUUUCAACGUUUCAGUCCACUACUGGGACUUUCUUCAGGAAUCUGAAGAAAGUCCCAGUAGUGGACUGAAACGUUGAAAGA